This 550-nucleotide ribosomal RNA is filed under the name uncultured bacterium. RNAcentral's name for it is "bacterial SSU rRNA". It matches the Rfam family "Bacterial small subunit ribosomal RNA", at positions 355 to 896 of the family's 1533-position model. The record is from RNAcentral.
UGGGGAAUUUUGGACAAUGGGGGCAACCCUGAUCCAGCCAUUCCGCGUGAGUGAAGAAGGCCUUCGGGUUGUAAAGCUCUUUCACAAGAGAAGAAAUCUUACUAUCAAAUAAAUCGUAAGGAUGACGGUAUCUUGAGAAGAAGCACCGGCUAACUACGUGCCAGCAGCCGCGGUAAUACGUAGGGUGCGAGCGUUAAUCGGAAUUACUGGGCGUAAAGCGUGCGCAGGCGGUUUUAUAAGUCAGAUGUGAAAUCCCCGAGCUCAACUUGGGAACUGCGUUUGAAACUGUAAGACUAGAGUGUGUCAGAGGGGGGUAGAAUUCCAUGUGUAGCAGUGAAAUGCGUAGAUAUAUGGAGGAAUACCAAUGGCGAAGGCAGCCCCCUGGGAUAACACUGACGCUCAUGCACGAAAGCGUGGGGAGCAAACAGGAUUAGAUACCCUGGUAGUCCACGCCCUAAACGAUGUCUACUAGUUGUUGGUGGAGUAAAAUCCAUGAGUAACGCAGCUAACGCGUGAAGUAGACCGCCUGGGGAGUACGGUCGCAAGAUUA